AUGAUGAAUCACGUUAUCAAUAUGGGAAAUCACCGUGAACCAUACCAACCGCAUUCCAAGUUGUUUGAACUACAGAAGACACAUCCUCCAACGUUCGCUCACACUGAUAGGCCGCUUGAGGCCGAUGAUUGGCUUCGAGACAUCGAGAGGAAAUUAAUUAUUGCCCAAUGCUCAGACCGUGAGAAGGUGCUUUAUGCACCUCACUACCUCACUGGAGCAGCUGCAGCAUGGUGGGAAAUUUUUCUACACAUGCACCCCAAUGAACAUAACAUCACCUGGGAAGAGUUUAAGGAAGGUUUUCGUGGGGCGCACAUUCCCAGGAGCAUUAUAAAGAUCAAGAAAAGGGAGUUUGAUGACCUCAAGCAGAGAGGCAUGACAGUGACUGAGUACAAUAGUCAGUUUACUCAACUAUCUCGUUAUGCCUACGAUGAGCAUAUGACUGAGAAUAAAAGGAUGGAAAGAUUUUUGGACGGUCUGGCGCCAGCACUUAAAUGCCAACUGGUCAUACACACAUUUCCAGAUUUCAAAACACUGGUUGACAAGGCUAUUACAUUGGAGAAUGAGCGCCGCAGUCUGGAGGUAUUCGCAAGCGAAAAAGGGAUAAGACUACUUAUGCUCGCAACAACCGGAGCAAGACUGAUAUUCAGAGGAAUGGAGCAAGCAAAUCCACGACCAACGUUCUAA
This 684-nucleotide ribosomal RNA is filed under the name Triticum aestivum (bread wheat). RNAcentral describes it as "partial small subunit ribosomal RNA". The record is from RNAcentral. Lineage: Eukaryota; Viridiplantae; Streptophyta; Magnoliopsida; Poales; Poaceae.